GCUGGGCAUGGUGGUGCAUGCCUGUGGUCCCAGCUACUUGGGAGGCUGAUGUGGGAAGAUUGCUUGAGCCUGGGAGGUCAAGGCUGCAGUGAGCUAUAACUGUGCUACUGCACCCCAGCCUGGGCAACAGAGCAAGGCCCUGUCUCAA
RNAcentral lists this non-coding RNA (148 nucleotides) under Pan troglodytes (chimpanzee). The record is from Rfam by way of RNAcentral. Lineage: Eukaryota; Metazoa; Chordata; Mammalia; Primates; Hominidae.